This 674-nucleotide long non-coding RNA is filed under the name Equus asinus (donkey). RNAcentral's name for it is "lncRNA (ENSEASG00005033939.1)". Lineage: Eukaryota; Metazoa; Chordata; Mammalia; Perissodactyla; Equidae. The record is from RNAcentral.
CUCCUUCCAACUGCCGUGUGGAGAAUGGACUGUAGUGGGAUGAGGGCAGAAGCCAGGAGACCAGGAAGAAAUGGGGCUCCUUGAGAGGGCUGUUGGGAAGACGAAAUGAAAGCUGCCUAGGCCUGCCCAGCAGCGAGCCAGAGACAAGAUCCGAACCAGACCUUCUGGGUUCCACAUCCACGCUCUGCCCGCUGUCUCACCACACUUACAGGUGCCAAGCGCUCCAUCGUCUGCAGCCUCCUCUUACUGACCAGCUCUCAUCCACUCCUCUCAACCCCGGGCAGCUGACGACACGAGCACUCGGAGCCCAGGCCCCAGUGGCUCUUACCCCUUCGUUACAGUUAUUGAAGGUAAUACACGGUGCGGUACAGCCCAGCCCCCCAACCCAGCCCGGUCCAACAGGCUAGGAAUCUCAAGGCCUCUAACUGGUCUGGGGCGGGAUGAGCAGGGGCCCUCGGCGGGGGAGACUAUUUAGGUGGAAAGUGGUGGAAAGGCCCCUCUUGCUCUCCCACCACAUUCUCUCCUCUCCCGCCAGGUCACCCUGCCCUCCUCAUACUCCGGUUCCUUCCCCAUCAUCCUUUCUUCCCUGAUAUUCCCUACCCCUCCCUCCCCCCCAAUCCCUCCCUCCCUGCACACACACCCUGCCCUUUCCCCUACGUCUCCCGUCCCGUCCC